GGAGAUCUAGCGCCCCAGGAAAAUGCCGGAAGUAUGUGGGGUGAUAAUGGACAAUGCUCAUCACUCGGGAGGAAGUAGCUCCACUUAUGAGUACAUCCUAUGGUCUCCUCGUGUGCACACACACACAUGCACUGUACACAUGAGAACACACGGAGCGACAGGGAGGCCAUUCCUCUGGGCUGUUGGAACUGGGGAACAGAAGCUCCCCGCUACUGGCUGCACCUGAGCAGAAGCUAGUGUUUUACAGGGAUGUGGUGGAGAAGGUUCUGGAAGGAGGCUGAGCAGAGACCUUUCCAACUCAGAGCCUCUGAUUUUCUUCCAUUUGGACUUUCAGGCAUUUGGAGUUCAGGAAUGCUCACUGAUGAAAUCACUACCCAAUCAGGGAAACUGUUUAAACAGCCGGCUUUCCAGCUUUCUAAAAAUAGGACUCAAUUUACAGAGUGGGGCAGAGAGAGCCGGACACUGCACAGCCCUGUGAUAGGCCAGGCACUGUGUCACUUAUUCCUACCAACCCUAGAUUCCAGCUGCCCAGGGAAUCCAGGCAUGAAGAAGUGGGGGGAUUGCUCAGGACCCGCGGUGGUAAGUGGCGAUUUGCGGAGCAGUGUCCUUGUCUGCAUGGCUGCAGAUGGCUCUGUACUACCUCCAUAUUCACAUUCAAGAUGGCAGAACGCCCAUGUCCUCAUGGGUCUUCUUCCCUCACCAUGUGAGCCUGCCUCAGCUGACAUCACUCGGCCAAAUGGCCAUGGAAGCAGCAAGAAACUGCAGCACACCGCCAGAAGUUUCUUGGUGCGUUUCUCUCUAUGGAGUCCCGACAAAUGCAGCUCAACUACGCAAUGGAAGGCGGACCAAUACACACGUGUCGUUAGCAAAGAAUCCUUCAUCACGUGUCCUUCCACGUGCUUGCUUUAGCAGAACGUCCUUUCACCUGUGCCCAAUUCAGGAAAACACUCCUUCAUGUGUUUGCCCCAACAAAACACCAUCUGCUGGAACAACUGGCUUUCCAAAGAAACUGUAAGUUUCCACUUCACACAUAUUCUUUGCUGUGCAGAAACUGACAAUUGUGUUGUUGUAAAAUUAUAUUAAAAGGCUGUCUUUUACCUCCACUAGAUCCAGCACUGCCAUGCUCCAAGGUAUCUGCUAGAUGUCUUACCAGAAACAUACAUCCCACUGUGUGGUGGCCCAGUGUCUCUGCCGCCACACGCUCUCCCAAAGUCAAAUUGUCACAAGAAUGAACACACAACACAAUAACCUCUGAUCCAAUUGAUAAGAUAUAAUUACCCACCUAAACAUACAAAGCCCUGUACACAUCCAUCCCUUAAGAACAUUCAUAACAACCUGUAAAGGUGCAUCAUGGAAUCUUAACGUCAGCCUCCAUGUUCUCUCAGUGGCUUCUCCUCCAGUCUUCCCCCGUUCCAGUCUCCUCCUCUCCCCUCAAACUUUUCUCCCGCCCAUCCUUCCUUCUCAUCCAAUGACAGGCCUCAUUCUAUCUUGUACCUGCCUCACCUGUGUGACAUCAUCCCACACACUUGGGCUGCAAAAACCGCUUGAGGCCACAGAGUUAGAAACCCAGGCUCAUCUGCUGUGCAGAGAGGCUGUUCUCUGCGUGGAGGGGCAUGUGUUUUUCUUCUCUAGAAGUUACCUAGUAAGUGCUCAAUUAACACUAUCUGUAACUGCAGAGUAGUAGCUGUCCUUUCAGACUGUCACUCGCUCCCAUAGCUCUUCCUGAAGUCUGGUACUUGCUUGGGACCCAGCCUCAAGUUUCUGGCUGGGUGGGAAGGCUAUGCAUGGGGUCUAGGAGCAAAAGGAACAAAGGAAAGUUCUCUCACUCUGCACAGCCCACUGAGCUUUCCCUCGGAUCCUGACUGAGGACUACUGUGCUAUCAUGUCAUAGUAUAUUUCUGUGUCUCUCUCUAUUGACCCAAAGUGUCCCAGCGUUCUGGAGCCGCAGUACCUACAUCAGUUCCUGGCAUGUGACAGGCAUCUUGUCAAUGACUGGCGACUGUGUGAAUUAAUGUACUUAAGUGGACAUCAAAGGUGGGGUGCUGGAUCCGGGACUGGGAGAGCGCUAUGGUGUUCAUGCAGGCCAGUUUUAACUGCAGUAAUACUCCAUAACCAUUCACCCCAAAACACCAGCUAACACCACCAGUGUUCACAUGUUUCCUCCGCUCAUGAGACUGAGGGCUGGCCAUGUUCAGGUAUGUUUUAGCUAUUUCUUCAUUUUCUUGGGACAAAUUUCUAUUUGGGACUUGACUUUCUCAUGGUAGAUGACUCACGUGGAAACAGAAUGGCCUUUCAGGUAUGGCUUAAGCCCCAUAGCCCCUCACUUCUGUUCACAUCCCUCAGGUUGGAUGGCCAGGCCCACUGGAGUAAGGAAAUAAUUCCAGCCACUCUUGUGCUCCAUGGUCAUUGUGGGUAAAUGAGGGCCAAGAGCCGAACAACAUUAAAACUGCAACCGCUUUGGACAAAGCUCAGGGUUUCCUUAAUUCCUUCUCCUAGAAUCUAACGGACAGGGGCUGCUGGGCCCUGAAAUCGCUUUUCUCUUGAGGUUUAUGACAAGAAGUGGUAACUGUACUCUGUUGUCUCCAUUGCUACCUUCUUUUUUUUUUUUUUUUUAAGAUUUAUUCAUUUAUUAUAUUUAAGUACACUGUAGCUGUCUUCAGAUACACCAGAAGAGGGCAUCGGAUCUCUUUACAGAUGGUUGUGAGCCACCAUGUGGUUGCUGGGAAUUGAACUCAGGACCUCGGAAGAGUAGUCGGGUGCUCUUAACCGCUGAGCCAUCUCUCCAGCCCGCUACCUUCUUUUUAGAAGCAGAACAUUCCAACAUGAUGCACACUAGGGACCACAUUUCCCAGCCUCCUUUGCAGUUGAGUUUGGCCAAGUGGCUCAGUUGUGGCUCAGAAGUGCCCAACCUCCUUCUGGUGGCUGCUUGUCUUCCCUCCUUUGUCCUUGCCUUGGGCUAAACAUAGAUUCGCUUGAUGAAGUGUCCCUCGCUAUGGCUAUAAAGAUGAAGACUGGCUGGUAAGGUGACUUACUGUGUAAUGGUACUGGCUGCCAAGUCAGAUGACCAAACCUUGAUCUCUGGGACCCACAUAGUAGAAGGAAAGAACCAACUCCCACAGGUUCUCUCCUGACUGCCACAGGUUUACUUUGGCAAGAAUGUAUCCACGCCAAAUAAAUAAAAUGUAGCAAAAAUUUAAAAAUUUAACAAUGAGACUGAUACUAUUUUAUUACAUCUGUUUAUUAUUGCAUUUAUACAUUACACACACACACACACAGGCACACACGCAUGCACAUGCACACACACCUAUGCUAUGGUACCAUGGUAAACAUGUGGGAAUCGGGGGGAAAACUUACAGGAGCUCAUUUUUUCCUUCACCACAUGGGUCCCUGGGAUAGAACUCUGGUUGUCAGUAUUGGCAACAAGCACCUUUACCCACUGAGCCAUUUUGCUGGCCCCAGGACAAUACUUUAAGGGAUGAGGGAGAUCACAGUGGGGGAAAAAUACCCACAUGAGCUCUUGGAGUUGAUCUGUUUGCCUGCCCAGCUCAGAUCAAAGUGUGAGAAUGGCGGCGUCCUCCUCUGAGCUGUAUUCUCGCUUGCUCCUGGGUCUUCACCUGUGUCUCAGCCCCUCCCCGUCACUCCAUCAUCACUCUAUGGCCUGCCUACUCCAGCCGCCAGGACCUCUGGUUCAUCCUCUGUCCCCACUCACUGAAGUGUGGCCUCAAUCAAAGGUCCUUUUUGAUUUUUCCCUGGCAAAGUUGAGAUGGGAUGGACUAGAGAACUCAUGAUUGGAAACAAGUAGUCAAGGGAGUUUAAGAAGGGAAGUCUAAAGCACUCAAGUCCCUACUGUAGAGUCACCAGAGCCACCAUGCACCACAGCGGCCACCCCCAGAUGCAGCCACAGCAGAUGUGGCCAGGGCAGUCAGAUGGGAGACUUUACCCAGGGGACUGGAAAUGAACGGAUAUGAAAUUUAGAGCAAUAAUGACAUCCCCAGAUGCAGCCACAGCAGAUGUGGCCUGGGAGACUUUACCCAGGGGACUGGAAAUGAGCAGAUAUGAAAUUUAGAGCAAUAAUGACAUCUUUUUUGAGAUAUGAUCUGGUCUGGAACUCACUCUGGUCAGGCUUGCCUUAAACCCACAGAGAUCUGCCUGCCUCUGCCUUCCAAGUACUGGCAUUAAAGGUGUGCCCCAACCGUGCCCAGUAAGAAUGAUAAGUCCUUGAAAAUUAGUUAAUGGGGGCUGGAGAGAUGGCUCAGUGGUUAAGAGCACAGACUGCUCUUCCAGAGGUCCUGAGUUCAAAUCCCAGCAACCACAUGGUGGCUCACAACCAUCUGUAAUGGGAUCUGAUGCCCUCUUCUGGUGUGUCUGAAGACACCUACAGUGUACUCACAUAC
Non-coding RNA from Rattus norvegicus (Norway rat), 4394 nucleotides. NCBI's taxonomy places the organism in Eukaryota, Metazoa, Chordata, Mammalia, Rodentia, Muridae. The record is from RefSeq and is a predicted model, not a curated record.